This 497-nucleotide ribosomal RNA is filed under the name uncultured bacterium. Its description in RNAcentral is "partial 16S ribosomal RNA". It matches the Rfam family "Bacterial small subunit ribosomal RNA", at positions 28 to 507 of the family's 1533-position model. The record is from RNAcentral.
GACGAACGCUGGCGGCGUGCCUAAUACAUGCAAGUAGAACGCUGAAGUGAGGAGCUUGCUCUUCUUGGAUGAGUUGCGAACGGGUGAGUAACGCGUAGGUAACCUGCCUUGUAGCGGGGGAUAACUAUUGGAAACGAUAGCUAAUACCGCAUAACAAUGGAUGACACAUGUCAUUUAUUUGAAAGGGGCAAUUGCUCCACUACAAGAUGGACCUGCGUUGUAUUAGCUAGUAGGUGAGGUAACGGCUCACCUAGGCGACGAUACAUAGCCGACCUGAGAGGGUGAUCGGCCACACUGGGACUGAGACACGGCCCAGACUCCUACGGGAGGCAGCAGUAGGGAAUCUUCGGCAAUGGGGGCAACCCUGACCGAGCAACGCCGCGUGAGUGAAGAAGGUUUUCGGAUCGUAAAGCUCUGUUGUAAGUCAAGAACGAGUGUGAGAGUGGAAAGUUCACACUGUGACGGUAGCUUACCAGAAAGGGACGGCUAACUACGUG